This 253-nucleotide ribosomal RNA is filed under the name uncultured bacterium. RNAcentral describes it as "partial 16S ribosomal RNA". It matches the Rfam family "Bacterial small subunit ribosomal RNA", at positions 524 to 776 of the family's 1533-position model. The record is from RNAcentral.
CACGGGGGGAGCAAGCGUUGUUCGGAAUCACUGGGCGUAAAGGGUGCGUAGGUGGGCAGGUAAGUCCGUGGUGAAAUCUCUGAGCUUAACUCAGAAACUGCCGUGGAUACUAUUUGUCUUGAAUAUUGUGGAGGUGAGCGGAAUAUGUCAUGUAGCGGUGAAAUGCUUAGAUAUGACAUAGAACACCAAUUGCGAAGGCAGCUCACUACACAAUGAUUGACGCUGAGGCACGAAAGCGUGGGGAUCAAACAGG